CGCGUAAAGAACUUGCCUCACAGCUAGGGACAACAUUUAGAAAUGAAUGCUAAUACCUGAUAUUAUGAUUUUAAGGCAUCUUAGAAUUAUGAAAGCUAUAAGCACUGUGAGAGAGCUUUGCGUCCCAUUAGCUAGUUGGAGAGGUAACAGCUCACCAAGGUGAUGAUGGGUAGCCGGCCUGAGAGGGUGAACGGCCACAAGGGGACUGAGACACGGCCCUU
RNAcentral lists this ribosomal RNA (221 nucleotides) under uncultured bacterium. RNAcentral's name for it is "partial 16S ribosomal RNA". It matches the Rfam family "Bacterial small subunit ribosomal RNA", at positions 114 to 334 of the family's 1533-position model. The record is from RNAcentral.